AGGUUAUGAUGCUUUUAAAUUUUCUGACAUCUCUAAUGAACCGUUGUGAUUAAAAUUUUUGUAAUAUAAUUAACUGAUCAU
Small nucleolar RNA from Drosophila sechellia, 81 nucleotides. It matches the Rfam family "Small nucleolar RNA Me28S-Gm3255". Rfam says of the family: Me28S-Gm3255 is a member of the C/D class of snoRNA which contain the C (UGAUGA) and D (CUGA) box motifs. This family directs 2'-O-methylation of 28S G-3255. The record is from Rfam. NCBI's taxonomy places the organism in Eukaryota, Metazoa, Arthropoda, Insecta, Diptera, Drosophilidae.